This 253-nucleotide ribosomal RNA is filed under the name uncultured bacterium. Its description in RNAcentral is "partial 16S ribosomal RNA". It matches the Rfam family "Bacterial small subunit ribosomal RNA", at positions 524 to 776 of the family's 1533-position model. The record is from RNAcentral.
UACGGAGGGGGCUAGCGUUAUUCGGAAUUAUUGGGCGUAAAGAGCUCGUAGGCGGCUUGUCACGUCGGGUGUGAAAGCUCGGGGCUUAACCCCGGGUCUGCAUUCGAUACGGGCUGGCUGGAGUGUGGUAGGGGAGAUCGGAAUUCCUGGUGUAGCGGUGAAAUGCGCAGAUAUCAGGAGGAACACCGGUGGCGAAGGCGGAUCUCUGGGCCAUUACUGACGCUGAGGAGCGAAAGCGUGGGGAGCGAACAGG